UACAGAGGUCCCAAGCGUUGUUCGGAUUCAUUGGGCGUAAAGGGCGCGUAGGCGGCGGGGCAAGUCGGGUGUGAAAUCUCAGGGUUCAACCCUGAAACUGCACUCGAUACUGCUCUGCUUGAGGACUGGGGAGGAGACUGGAAUUCACGGUGUAGCAGUGAAAUGCGUAGAUAUCGUGAGGAAGACCAGUAGCGAAGGCGGGUCUCUGGACAGUUCUUGACGCUGAGGCGCGAAGGCCAGGGGAGCAAACGGG
Molecule: ribosomal RNA, 253 nt
Filed under: uncultured bacterium
Lineage: Bacteria
Description: partial 16S ribosomal RNA
Rfam family: Bacterial small subunit ribosomal RNA
Source: RNAcentral